UGGACCCGUAGCUCAGCCAGGACAGAGUGCUGGCCUGCGGAGCCAGUGGUCCCGGGUUCGAAUCCCGGCGGGUCCGU
RNAcentral lists this transfer RNA (77 nucleotides) under Sulfodiicoccus acidiphilus. RNAcentral describes it as "tRNA-Arg". It matches the Rfam family "tRNA". From Rfam's summary of the family: Transfer RNA (tRNA) molecules are approximately 80 nucleotides in length. Their secondary structure includes four short double-helical elements and three loops (D, anti-codon, and T loops). The record is from RNAcentral. Lineage: Archaea; Thermoproteati; Thermoproteota; Thermoprotei; Sulfolobales; Sulfolobaceae.